GUUUGUUGUAAGCUCAAAUUGGUUUCCGAUAAUGACCCAUGGUCUAAAAGAGUUGAUUUUCUUAUUGAAGUCAUGGUCUCCUUCUUUGAGAAACAGCAGUCUCAGAAGGAAGCUAUAAAUGCUCUUCCUCUUUACCCAAAUGAGCAGAUCAUGUGGGAUGAAAGUGUCGUACCAAGUAUUAAUUACUCUGGAGAAGGCUGCCUGGCACUUCCAAAACUUAAUUUGCAAUUCUUAACACUCCAUGAUUAUCUUCUAAGGAAUUUCAAUCUCUUCCGGCUUGAGUCAACAUAUGAGAUCCGUGAGGACAUUCAGGAAGCUGUUCCGCACCUCCUUGCCUACAUUAAUAAUGAAGCAGAAACUGCAUUUCGUGGUUGGUCAAGAAUGGCUGUGCCUAUAAAAGAAUUUAAGAUUACUGAGGUCAAACAGCCGAAUAUUGGUGAAGUCAAACCAUCAUCUGUUACAGCAGAAGUUACUUUUAGCAUUUCCAGUUAUAAAGCACAAAUAAGAUCAGAGUGGAAUGCCCUGAAGGAGCAUGAUGUUCUAUUUUUGCUUUCGAUUCGCCCUUCAUUUGAGCCUCUUAGUGCUGAGGAAGCUGGGAAGGCUACUGUGCCACAGAGACUUGGUCUCCAGUAUGUGCGGGGAUGUGAAAUUAUUGAGAUUCGUGAUGAGGAGGGAACACUCAUGAAUGAUUUCACUGGAAGGAUUAAACGGG
Molecule: unclassified non-coding RNA, 712 nt
Filed under: Hevea brasiliensis (rubber tree)
Lineage: Eukaryota; Viridiplantae; Streptophyta; Magnoliopsida; Malpighiales; Euphorbiaceae
Source: RNAcentral